GGAUGAGCACUCGUCAGCCCCUGCUGUGAGCCAUGCUCAGGGCAGAGUGACAAUGCUUCAGACAGCACUGGUGAGGGCAGAAAACAUGUUGAGUCUCGAAAAAGAUGAAGCUCACUCUGCCUAGCAAGGUGGCUCGCCAGGGCUUGCUGCUGGCUAGGGAAAGAAACCUUUUUUGUUUGUUCGUUUUUGUUUUCAAGUCUUUUUAGCAAACUCCUUUUCUUUCUGAGCUUAAUGAGAUGGUGAAGAGGCAGUGCCUGCUCUCAACCAAUCUCAGUGAUCCUUUGUGGUUGGGAUGUUUUGCUCUGAUUGCCCAAGCAGCCUUUUAGCGGCCUGAAGGCCACCUUCGAGAAGCAGUUGAUUCAGCACAGGUCUUGCAGUGCAUUUCACUUAGAGUUCGGCAUCUCUGGGCUCUGUGCUUGAAGAUCAGUUAUUUCCCAGUCAGUCGACAGGAGGAAGACAGCAGGGGAGGGCAAGCUAGGGGGAGAUGGAGGGAGACAGCCCUUGUCAGCUGUAUGCUCUUUCUUUUCUUUGGGCAUAAACAUCACCAGGCUGAGUGUAUUUUGCAGCUCAUCCAUUCUGAAAUCCCUCUGUCCUCCCAAUUUUCUACUAGCUCUCAAUUGCAUCAGUCAACAUAAAACUCACUUGAAGUUUAGAAUGGGCCAUCAUCUGCUGAGUAGAAAAUAUAACCAGUCCCAGUGAUACACUUUAGGUUUUUUAACUUUUUUUUUUUUUUAACAGAGACUUUUAAAGGUAAAACUUGGAAAACAGAAGUAGUCACAUGAAUUGGGCCACUGUUUAAUUGCUGAGCUAUUUGGAGGGAACUUUUAAAACUUUUUAGGGGCCCUCCUUGGCCACUGUGGGAAAAUAGUUGUGAAUAGAUGACUUAUAGGGAAUCCUUCUCAUCAGAACUGCAGAGAUUUCUUAGUCCUUUGCAACCUUGGACUGCAAGAGAAACAGUUGCAAUGUGCUGUCUCUUUGGGGUUGCGCUGGGGACAUUUCCCCUCGAUACCACAAAGUCAUUCCUAGUUUUUGAGGUCAGUGUUAGGUCGUAAGGUACUGCAUUUAGCAAAGGAAUCAGUCUACCAACUUCCUGCAAAGAUAUAAACUGCACAGUUUUUUUUUUUAAAUUACUUUUUAAAUAAAUUUCAAGAGUAAGUAGAUCUUUAUAUAAAUAUAUAUUUAUAAUGUUU
RNAcentral lists this long non-coding RNA (1190 nucleotides) under Capra hircus (goat). RNAcentral's name for it is "lncRNA (ENSCHIG00010032058.1)". The record is from RNAcentral. Lineage: Eukaryota; Metazoa; Chordata; Mammalia; Artiodactyla; Bovidae.